AUUGAACGCUGGCGGAAUGCUUUACACAUGCAAGUCGAACGAUGAACCUUAGCUUGCUAAGGGGAUUAGUGGCGAACGGGUGAGUAAUAUAUCGGAACGUGCCUUGUAAUGGGGGAUAACUAGUCGAAAGAUUAGCUAAUACCGCAUACGCCCUGAGGGGGAAAGUAGGGGAUCUUCGGACCUUACGUUAUAAGAGCGGCCGAUAUCUGAUUAGCUAGUUGGUGGGGUAAUGGCCUACCAAGGCGACGAUCAGUAGCUGGUCUGAGAGGACGACCAGCCACACUGGAACUGAGCCACGGUCCAGAGUCCUACGGGAGGCAGCAGUGGGGAAUGUUGGACAAUGGGCGCAAGCCUGAUCCAGCCAUUCCGCGUGAGUGAAGAAGGCCUUCGGGUUGUAAAGCUCUUUCGCAAGGGAAGAAAAGUUACCAUCGAAUAAAUGGUGAGGCUGACGGUACCUUGAUAAGAAGCACCGGCUAACUACGUG
This 484-nucleotide ribosomal RNA is filed under the name uncultured bacterium. Its description in RNAcentral is "partial 16S ribosomal RNA". It matches the Rfam family "Bacterial small subunit ribosomal RNA", at positions 30 to 507 of the family's 1533-position model. The record is from RNAcentral.